AUGGGAGGAGGGGGAGGAGGAAGAGGCGAUCGCCAAGCAGAGCCGCUGCUUCGGAAGCUCUCAGAAUCCUCUUCUGAUAAUUCCUCCGAGGAGCAUCCGGUGAAAAGAACCGGCACGGUAUGGACGGCGAUGGCGCACGUCAUCACGGCGGUGAUAGGCUCCGGCGUGCUGUCGCUGGCGUGGAGCGUGGCGCAGCUCGGCUGGGUCGGGGGGCCGGCGGCCAUGGUGCUCUUCGCCGGGGUGACCGUGGUGCAGUCCUCCCUGCUCGCCGACUGCUACAUCUCCCGCGACCCGGAGCGCGGCGCCGCCGUCAGGAACAGGUCUUACGUCGACGCCGUCAGGCUCUACCUAGGCAAGAAGAGCCAGAUGUUGAGCGGGUUUUUCCUCGGCUUCAGCCUGUUUGGGAACAGUGUGGUGUACACUCUCACCGCGGCCGCUAGCAUGAGGGCGAUUGAGAGAGCCAACUGCUACCACAGGGAAGGCGAAGGCGCGCCGUGCUGCGCCGCCGGCGCCGGCGGGUCAUCGGAAGCCUACUACAUGCUCCUGUUCGGCCUGGCGCAGGUGGCGCUGUCGCAGAUACCGGACUUCCACAGCAUGGCGUGGCUCUCCGUCUUCGCCGCCGUCAUGUCCUUCUCCUACUCCUUCAUCGGCCUCGGCCUCGGCGCGGCCAAAGUGAUCGAGAACGGAGUGAUCAAGGGGGCGAUCGGAGGCGUUUCCCUGGUGUCCCCGGCGCAGAAGGUGUGGCGCGUGGCGCAGGCCCUCGGCGACAUCGCCUUCGCCUACCCGUUCUCCCUGGUGCUGCUGGAGAUCGAGGACACGCUGAGGUCGCCGCCGGCGGAGAGCGAGACGAUGAAGGCGGCGUCGAGGGCGAGCAUCGCGGUCACCACCUUCUUCUACCUCGGCUGCGGGUGCUUCGGCUACGCGGCGUUCGGGGACGGCACCCCAGGGAACCUCCUCACCGGCUUCGGGGGGCCCUACUGGCUCGUCGGCCUCGCCAACCUCUGCGUCGUCCUCCACCUCCUCGGCGGCUACCAGGUGUACGCGCAGCCCAUGUUCGCGCUCGUGGAGCGGCGGUUCGGCGCCGGCGUCGUCGACGCGGAGGUGCCGCUGCUCGGGCGCGUGAGCGUGUCCAGGCUGUGCUUCCGCACGGCGAACGUGGCGGCGGCGACGGCGGUGGCCGUGUGGUUCCCCUACUUCAACCAGGUGGUGGGGCUCAUCGGCGCCUUCACCUUCUGGCCGCUGGCCAUCCACUUCCCCGUCCAGAUGUACCUCGCGCAGGGCAAGGUGGCGCCGUGGACGGGGCGGUGGCUCGCCAUCCAGGCCUUCAGCGCCGGCUGCCUGGUCGCCUGCGGCUUCGCCUCCGUUGGCUCUGCCAUGGGGGUGUUCGGCCCCGAGAGAAGCUAG
This 1404-nucleotide ribosomal RNA is filed under the name Triticum aestivum (bread wheat). RNAcentral's name for it is "partial small subunit ribosomal RNA". Lineage: Eukaryota; Viridiplantae; Streptophyta; Magnoliopsida; Poales; Poaceae. The record is from RNAcentral.